CCUACGGGAGACUGCAGUGAGGAAUAUUGGUCAAUGGGCGGGAGCCUGAACCAGCCAAGUCGCGUGAGGGAAGACGGUCCUACGGAUUGUAAACCUCUUUUGCCGGGGAGCAACGGGGUCCUUGCGAGGGCCCGAUGAGAGUACCCGGAGAAAAAGCAUCGGCUAACUCCGUGCCAGCAGCCGCGGUAAUACGGAGGAUGCGAGCGUUAUCCGGAUUUAUUGGGUUUAAAGGGUGCUUAGGCGGGCUGUUCAGUCAGCGGUCAAAUGUCGGGGCUCAACCCCGGCCUGGCGUUGAAACUGGCGGGUGCGAGUGGGCAAGAAGGGUGCGGAA
Molecule: ribosomal RNA, 331 nt
Filed under: uncultured bacterium
Lineage: Bacteria
Description: partial 16S ribosomal RNA
Rfam family: Bacterial small subunit ribosomal RNA
Source: RNAcentral